AUCCCGGCCCCUCCUCCGCCAGCCGCGUCCUCCCGGGCUUGGUGAGGAACUGUUCCUGGAGGAGCCGCGGGACGCCAAAACCAGCCAAUGGGAAGCGGCGAUUCGCGGAGAUUGGCACUGAUGAUGGGAAGGAAUAUUGAUCUCAGCGUUACUUUGACCAUUAAUGAAUUAUGAUGGCAAUAAGCAAAGAUUCGCACCUCUAGCCUCCGGGGAGCUUAAUCUUCUGCUACAACAUUUGCAUUUGGUGUCUCUCUACUGCUCAGGCUGGAGUGCAGUGGUGCGAUCAUAGCUCACUGCAGCCUCGACUUCCUGGGCUCAGGUGACCCUCUCGCCUGAAACCAUAUUCCCCCUCAAGUAGCUGAGACUACAGAGACAAGGUCUCACUAUGUUGCCUAGGCUGGUCUUCAACUCCUGGCCUGAAGUUAUCCUCUCAUCUUGGACUGCCAAAGUGCUGGGAUUUGGCACCACUGAGCCAAAUCCCAGGCGUGAGCCACUGAGCCUGGGCUGUUCUUCCUUCUUUAUAGGCUUAAAAACCUUCAAAAAUUAUCUCAAGAUUAUCCACUCCAGGAAGAACUUGAGCCUCAUUGAUUGAAUUGGUGUACUUCUCCUCCCUUCCUAUAGCAUUUUCUUUAUGUGUCUAUCCUAGCACUUCUCACACAGUGUUGAAUUCAUCUGUCCACCUGGCUCAUCAUACAAAUUGUUCCAUGAGUUCAAGGAUCAUGCUGCAUGCUGGAUUCCCCCGGAAGCUGAUUCUGAGAUGGAGUUUAGUGUACUAAAUAUUUAUGUGGGCCUUUGGAUCAUCACCUGUGAAAAGGAAGAGAAGGAAGCAGGAGUGGACCUAGGGUGAAGUGAAGCUCUGAUGCAAACCUGACAACUGCCUCACCUGACACCAUGAAGAGCUCUGGAGCUAGAAUGGCCUUUUGUUGUUCUGAAUUGGUGUGAGGUAGCUAGGUCUUUACACCCCUGCCACCACCCAUUAUUGGGUAUGGGCCAACCAGGAAGGGGCAUGACCAUGAGUGAUGCAGCUCUGCAGCUGAAGCAAUAACUGAAGAGGCUGACAGCUGAGGGCCAUCUGCUGACAGUACUCCCUGCAGCUGGGCAGCACAUCCUUUCUCAAAAGGGGAUCAAGGCAGUUGCAUCUCCGUGUCCACCAUGGACUAUAUAUUUUUUCUUUGCAUUCCUAGGGCCUCCCAUAGUAUAUGGCACAUAGUAGGCAAAACUGGAGGUCUGUAGGGCAAAUUCAGCUAGUAGAUGAGUAUUGUUUUUUCACCCACAAAGAGAUUUUUAAAAAUUAGUUGUCAACAUUUAAAAAUAAAAAGAUUUCACAUUGAAA
Molecule: long non-coding RNA, 1333 nt
Filed under: Homo sapiens (human)
Lineage: Eukaryota; Metazoa; Chordata; Mammalia; Primates; Hominidae
Description: non-protein coding lnc-SPATA31D4-1:7
Source: RNAcentral